Pelodiscus sinensis (Chinese soft-shelled turtle) is the source of this 296-nucleotide non-coding RNA. Lineage: Eukaryota; Metazoa; Chordata; Testudines; Trionychidae. The record is from RefSeq and is a predicted model, not a curated record.
ACCUCGCCAGGAGCAGUCAUUUUGGUUUUUGGAAUGACUUCCUCUUCCACAGUCUCUGCAGCUCUCUGGAGAAGGCAGGGUCUGUGCAUGGAGCAAUGCAGACAACAAAAAAACACUCCCGGGGACCAAUACAUGGCAGAGAUGGGAACGGAUUCCUUCCUGACCGCUACAGAGAAUGGCCAACACCCUGAAGCAUGAGAUGUGACUCUCUCUAGCACGGCACCAGAAGGGACACAGGGAUUUGCCGUAUUGGAUCCAGCCACUGAGCAGGCCUGGCUAGGGUUGCCAGAUAUUUU